Paramuricea clavata is the source of this 228-nucleotide non-coding RNA. The record is from the annotation of a GenBank genome assembly. NCBI's taxonomy places the organism in Eukaryota, Metazoa, Cnidaria, Anthozoa, Malacalcyonacea, Plexauridae.
CAGCCUCGUACCCAGGCGCAAAUAACGUACUAAAAAACAGCAACACUACAGUUUUUUUAUAUAGAUCAGUGGCUGAGCGAGCGCGCGGUGGUGCUUGGGGAGGACUUGGGAAGCGAGGCGCCUGGCAGAAUUUGUAACAAACAUGGCGGACAUGAGAAUGCAAAGAAGGAAAUUGCUGUACUAUAUAAAUGAAAUUGAAAGGCUUGCCUAACGAGCGGUACAUUUGGG